This 555-nucleotide ribosomal RNA is filed under the name Tor putitora (golden mahseer). RNAcentral's name for it is "partial large subunit ribosomal RNA". It matches the Rfam family "Bacterial large subunit ribosomal RNA", at positions 1861 to 2613 of the family's 2925-position model. The record is from RNAcentral. Lineage: Eukaryota; Metazoa; Chordata; Actinopteri; Cypriniformes; Cyprinidae.
GCCCAGUGACCACAAGUUCAACGGCCGCGGUAUUUUGACCGUGCAAAGGUAGCGCAAUCACUUGUCUUUUAAAUAGAGACCUGUAUGAAUGGCUAAACGAGGGCUUAACUGUCUCCCUUUUCAGGUCAGUGAAAUUGAUCUACCCGUGCAGAAGCGGGUAUAACAAUACAAGACGAGAAGACCCUUUGGAGCUUAAGGUACAAAACUCAACCACGUCAAGCAACUUAACAAAAAGUAAAAACUUUGUGAAACAUGAGAUUUUACCUUCGGUUGGGGCGACCGCGGAGGAAAAAAAAGCCUCCAAGUGGACCGGGACAAACUCCUAAAACCAAGAGAAACAUCUCUAAGCCACAGAACAUCUGACCAAACAUGAUCCGGCCACCAGGACCGAUCAACGAACCAAGUUACCCUAGGGAUAACAGCGCAAUCCCCUCCCAGAGUCCAUAUCGACGAGGGGGUUUACGACCUCGAUGUUGGAUCAGGACAUCCUAAUGGUGCAGCCGCUAUUAAGGGUUCGUUUGUUCAACGAUUAAAGUCCUACAUGAUAUGAGUCCA